Molecule: ribosomal RNA, 255 nt
Filed under: uncultured bacterium
Lineage: Bacteria
Description: partial 16S ribosomal RNA
Rfam family: Bacterial small subunit ribosomal RNA
Source: RNAcentral
UACGGGGGGGAGCAAGCGUUGUUCGGAUUUACUGGGCGUAAAGGGCGCGUAGGCGGUCGUGACAAGUCACUUGUGAAAUCUCCGGGCUUAACUCGGAACGGUCAAGUGAUACUGUCGGACUAGAGUACAGAAGGGGCAACUGGAAUUCUCGGUGUAGCGGUGAAAUGUGUAGAGAUCGGGAGGAACACCGGUGGCGAAGGCGGGUCUCUGGGCAAUUCCUGACGCUGAGGCGCGAAAGCGUGGGGAUCAAACAGG